Molecule: transfer RNA, 74 nt
Rfam family: tRNA
About the family: Transfer RNA (tRNA) molecules are approximately 80 nucleotides in length. Their secondary structure includes four short double-helical elements and three loops (D, anti-codon, and T loops).
Source: Rfam
CGGGGAGUAGCGCAGUCUGGUAGCGCAUCUGCUUUGGGAGCAGAGGGUCGCAGGUUCGAAUCCUGUCUCCCCGA